GAUAAAGUGGCUGAGUUAGGUGUUAAACUGUAAAUUUAAAAACAAAAAUAAAUUUUUCUUUAUUA
This 65-nucleotide transfer RNA is filed under the name Homidia socia. RNAcentral describes it as "tRNA-Tyr". It matches the Rfam family "tRNA". From Rfam's summary of the family: Transfer RNA (tRNA) molecules are approximately 80 nucleotides in length. Their secondary structure includes four short double-helical elements and three loops (D, anti-codon, and T loops). Lineage: Eukaryota; Metazoa; Arthropoda; Collembola; Entomobryomorpha; Entomobryidae. The record is from RNAcentral.